RNAcentral lists this ribosomal RNA (254 nucleotides) under uncultured bacterium. RNAcentral describes it as "partial 16S ribosomal RNA". It matches the Rfam family "Bacterial small subunit ribosomal RNA", at positions 524 to 776 of the family's 1533-position model. The record is from RNAcentral.
UACAGAGGUCCCAAGCGUUUGUUCGGAAUUACUGGGCGUAAAGCGUGCGUAGGUGGUUUGUUAAGUCUGUUGUGAAAGCCCCGGGCUCAACCUGGGAAUGGCAAUGGAUACUGGCAGGCUAGAGUGCGGUAGAGGGUAGUGGAAUUCCCAGUGUAGAGGUGAAAUUCGUAGAUAUUGGGAAGAACACCGGUGGCGAAGGCGGCUCUCUGGACCGAGACUGACGCUGAGGCGCGAAAGCGUGGGGAGCAAACAGG